RNAcentral lists this ribosomal RNA (253 nucleotides) under uncultured bacterium. RNAcentral describes it as "partial 16S ribosomal RNA". It matches the Rfam family "Bacterial small subunit ribosomal RNA", at positions 524 to 776 of the family's 1533-position model. The record is from RNAcentral.
UACGUAGGGGGCUAGCGUUGUCCGGAAUCAUUGGGCGUAAAGCGCGUGUAGGCGGCUUGGUAAGUCCGUUCUGAAAGCCCGGGGCUCAACCCCGGGAGGCGGAUGGAUACUGUCAAGCUCGAGUCCGGAAGAGGCAAGUGGAAUUCCCGGUGUAGCGGUGAAAUGCGCAGAUAUCAGGAGGAACACCAAUUGCGAAGGCAGCUCGCUGGGACGUUACUGACGCUGAGACGCGAAAGCGUGGGGAGCAAACAGG